RNAcentral lists this ribosomal RNA (971 nucleotides) under Triceromyces hebri. RNAcentral describes it as "SSU rRNA". It matches the Rfam family "Eukaryotic small subunit ribosomal RNA", at positions 75 to 1115 of the family's 1831-position model. The record is from RNAcentral. Lineage: Eukaryota; Fungi; Ascomycota; Laboulbeniomycetes; Laboulbeniales; Laboulbeniaceae.
UAUACCGUGAAACUGCGAAUGGCUCAUUAAAUCAGUUAUUGUUUAUUUGAUGAUACCUUACUACUUGGAUAACCGUGGUAAUUCUAGAGCUAAUACAUGCCAAAAACCCCGACUCACGAAGGGGUGUAUUUAUUAGAUAGCAAACCAAUACCUCUUAGGAGGUUUCUUUGGUGAUUCAUAAUAACUAAACGCAGCGCAUGGCCUAGUGCUGGCGCGAGAUCAUUCAAAUACCUGCCCUAUCAAGUUUCGAUGUGAGGGUAGUGUCCUCACAUGCUUUUGACGGGUAACGGGGAAUUAGGGUUCGACUCCGGAGAGGGAGCCUGAGAAACGGCUACCACAUCCAAGGAAGGCAGCAGGCGCGCAAAUUACCCAAUCCCGACACGGGGAGGUAGUGACAAGAAGUACCGAUACAGGAUCCUUUGGAUCUUGUAAUUGGAAUGAGUACAAUUAAACCCAUGUAUAUUAAAAUUGUUGCAGUUAAAACGCUCGUAGUUGAACCUUGGGCUUGGCUGGCCGGUCCGCCUCACCGCGAGCACUGGUCUGGCCGGGCCUUUCCUCUUGGGGGAACUACAUGCCCUUCAUUGGGUGUGUUGGGGAACCAGGACUUUUACUUUGAAAAAAUUAGAGUGUUCAAAGCAGGCUUUUGCUCGAAUACAUUAGCAUGGGAUAAUAAAAUAGGAUGUGUGGUUCUAUUUUGUUGGUUUCUAGGACCGCCGUAAUGAUUGAUAGGGAUGGUUGGGGGCAUCGGUAUUCAAUUGUCAGAGGUGAAAUUCUUGGAUUUAUUGAAGACCAACUACUGCGAAAGCAUUUGCCAAAGAUGUUUUCAUUAAUCAGGGAACGAAAGUUAGGGGAUCGAAGAUGAUCAGAUACCGUCGUAGUCUUAACCGUAAACUAUGCCGACUAGGGAUCGGGUGGUGUUUUUUUUAAUGACCCACUCGGCACCUUAUGAGAAAUCAAAGUGUUUGGGUUCU